Molecule: non-coding RNA, 742 nt
Filed under: Longitarsus nigrocillus
Lineage: Eukaryota; Metazoa; Arthropoda; Insecta; Coleoptera; Chrysomelidae
Source: RNAcentral
AUAAAGUUUUAUUUUAGCUUAAAAAUUAAGUAUUAUUUUUAAUUAUAUGUAAAUUUUAUUAAAGAAUAGAAGGCAGUUUUUAAUAUUAUUAAUUUAAGAAAUUAAGAAUUAGAAAUAAUGUGUAAUAUAAACUAAAUUUGUGCCAGCAGUUGCGGUUAGACAAAUUAUAUAAAUUAAUUUUGUUAAUUUUAAUAAGUUAGUAUUUUAAUUUUAAAAUUAAAUUUAUUUGGUGAAAUUAUAAAUUUAAAAUAAAAUUUGUAUUUGAUAAUUAUAUUAAAAAAUUUUAAGUAUAAACUAGGAUUAGAUACCCUAUUAUUUAAAAGGUAAUUUUUUAUUAAAUUAGUAUUAGUUAUGAUCUUGAAAAUUAAAAAUUUUGGCGGUAUUUUAAUCUAUUCAGAGGAACCUGUUUUAUAAAUGAUAAUCCACGAUUUUAUGUACUUUUGUUAUUAACUUGUAUAUCGUCGUUAUUUAAAUAUUUUUGUAGAAUUAAAAUAUUUAAAAUUUUUUAUAAAAAAAUAUUUCAGAUCAAGGUAUAGUUUAUACAAAAGAAUAAAUGGGUUACAAUAAAAAUAUUUUAGGAUUGGUAUUUUUAAAAUAUUAUUAAUUUGGAUUUGACAGUAAUUUUAAUUAAUUUAUUAAGAUGAUUUUAGUACUAAAAUAUGUACAUAUUGCCCGUCACUUUCAUUUAAUAUGGAAUAAGUCGUAACAGAGUAGAUUUACUGGAAAGUGAAUCUAGAAACAA